Molecule: non-coding RNA, 23 nt
Filed under: Arabidopsis thaliana (thale cress)
Lineage: Eukaryota; Viridiplantae; Streptophyta; Magnoliopsida; Brassicales; Brassicaceae
Source: RNAcentral
GAACUGGUUGUUGACCUUGACUA